GAAGUAAUAUGACCCUCAGCUUCUAACUGAGGAAAGAUUAAAUAUGACUAGAUUAUAAAUCUUACUUCU
This 69-nucleotide transfer RNA is filed under the name Colpocephalum griffoneae. Its description in RNAcentral is "tRNA-Ser". The record is from RNAcentral. Lineage: Eukaryota; Metazoa; Arthropoda; Insecta; Psocodea; Menoponidae.